GCCUCAACUUAAAAGAAAAUUAAAAUUUAAUUAAUUUGCUCAGCGAGUUAUGUUGGUGCACUGAGCGAAUAAUCUCCCUUAUAGUUAAGCGCAUGAUUAAUUAGCUUAGCGAGAAACAGGUGACAAUAUUCCGAAUGAUGUUUAAGUUCUUGUACAAUUGACUACACAACUUUCUACUCACUAUUACAACUUUUCAAUAAGGAAACACAUUGUUUCAUAAAU
Molecule: long non-coding RNA, 222 nt
Filed under: Vigna radiata
Lineage: Eukaryota; Viridiplantae; Streptophyta; Magnoliopsida; Fabales; Fabaceae
Description: long non-coding RNA (VRAD_LNC007226)
Source: RNAcentral